GAAAAUAGUUUUAUAUUUCUAACAGAUAAUUCCAAUAGGUGCUGGCAAUUAACAUGAACUAUGCUCAUUAGCACACCUUAACUCCUCCCUCUUAAACAUCACCAGGAAAUCUACUGUGUUCAAUGUCCUCCAACAUUUUAUUGAUCAUGCACCUCAAGCUGUCUUCCACAUGGACUUGAACAGAGAUGCAUAAGCCAAACAACAGGUGACUUUAUUGGGUCAAGUAAUAAUAUGAAAUCCAACAUGAAUUUUCUGUGUGGGAGACAGAAAAACCAAGCAAGAAAAUGAGGUAUAGUGGAGGAGAAACAGAAAAAGAAGGAAGAAGCACAAAGAAAGCAUGAAGCAUUUACCGAGGAGUAUGUCUAAUCCACAAGAAUAUUUAUGAAAUAAACAGAGACAUCCCAACC
Molecule: long non-coding RNA, 407 nt
Filed under: Homo sapiens (human)
Lineage: Eukaryota; Metazoa; Chordata; Mammalia; Primates; Hominidae
Description: HSALNT0271623
Source: RNAcentral